CAAGUGCCGGGCUUUGCGGCCGAUUCGCAGCCCCUGGUGCUCAAAGGCAAGGGAAGGCAGAGCCCCGUGGGUUCGUCUAUGCACCCUUGCAGACACUUCAGAAGGAAAUUAAUGGGAAGAGGUACACUGUUCCUGUAGGGGGAUAGUCCCUAUUUUCAGGUGAAGAUCAAAGGCCAGGCAUCCUAUGAAUGGCGGUGCAGAGACACACCCUAGGAUCCUUCAGACUGUGAAGCCAAGCGGACAGGGCGUUCCAUCUUAUCUAAGGGGGAUUUCAGCCAUCCUGGUUGAAAACACUCUGGCAAAGGACUUGAGCACCUGCACGUAGAGCGCCUGCCAGGACGAGAUCACGGGGGAAUCUAGAAGCAUGAACAGUGAAUGUCGAGCCGGGAGGACUGCGCUCAUUUGCUCAGAUGCGGUAAUUAAACCACUUUAUCUAGACAAAUGCAAAACCCAGCUGGAGGUUGCUUCUCAGUCCAUUAAACCCUCAUGUUCAGCAGGUCAGCUGAAGUCAGUUCCGCAGUGAAUUGCACGGCCCUGUUACAAACCUGGGUAAAUUGUUAGGGCUUGUCUACACUAGAAAUGCUGCAGUGGUGCAGCCGAGGGCUUCUUCCGUCAGCAAUCCAUUUCCUCAAGAGGCAGCAGCUAGGUCAAGGGACCUAGCGCUGUCUACACGGAAACUUAGCUCUGUUGAACUUUGUUGCCCAGGGCUGUGGAUUUUUCAUGCCCAUGACGAAUGUAGUUGUGUUGACCUAAUUUUCUAGGUAGACUUAAGGGCUGGUCUGCAAUUCAGUCAGGCAUUGACUAACUAUUUAAAUCUGGUUUAUAUGAGUUCAGGGCAAUUCGGGGAUGGAUUGAUUUCAGCUGAACUGCUCUAAGCCAGCUGUAGAUCAAUUUUUAAACACUGAGGGAUGGCUGCACUAUUUAAGUUGAUUUAGAGACCUUCCUUGGUUAUCGGACAUGGUUCUGGCUACAUGGCUCCUCUGCGUACCCUUGGCUCUGAAACGGAUGCGUUUUAACCGGGUCAGCCCACCGAGCCAUUGGCUCGGGGAACUUGGACUUUAGACAAAUCCAGGCAACUGUGUGGAGAAAGUGCCAGGUGGGGCUGGUCAGGUGCCACCGUAAUGUAAGGUUUAUUGAAGCACCUAAUUAAAAGUAGGCAGAUGUCUAAAAGGUCCUGAGCUCACCGCAACUCCAAUGAGUGGCAACGGGCAGGCUGCUUUGAGCUAGAGACUUUACAGCCCCAGGAGGAAGUAGUUUGCUGUAGCCAGCAGAUACGAGAAGUGAAAGCCGUCGCUUUGGGAUCGGGGACAUGCAGAACAGACGGGGGGAAGGCAAAAGGGAUUGAGACCAGUCACUCUGCCUUCCUUUGGAAGCACAUAUGCAGAUAAACUAGGAGGCAGCACCUGGAUAGACUUUCACCCUACAAUGCCCACCCCCAAUUCAGCUGGCUGGAGGAGGAGCUGGGGAUUUGGCCCAAGGGGUUUGCAGCUGCUGAUCUCCCAGUUGGCUAAGGAAGGUGGGGGGGGGGGGGGGACCAAACACCAAUGAAAUCUUAAGACAUGGGAACCAAACACUAUCCACCAGGGUAGAGAGCUGCGUGUGAAGCCCUAUCCCUAGCGAAGUGGGUCCUGGAGCGUUCUUGGACCUCAAGAGCGCAUUUGCUGCAAUAGUCAGGACACAGAGGCCAGGCCUGAGAGAGUGAAGCACAAAUAGUUGAAGCUCGGGAGGGUCUGCUCUGGAGAAUGACUAUGUAAAAGUGGCAUCUGGUCCAUGUGUAUCCAGCCUGAACUACUGGUUGGCUUUAGAUUACAAUGGCCACUCGUGUCUGCCUUGCAGAACCAACACAGCAAGAACACGAACCGGAUUCCAUGCCUUCUUGAGCGGAAUCCAAAUUAUUGAGUCCAGACUAGACUCUGCCCACACACCCACCGCAGGCAAUGAGGCAGCACUGAGGACAAAACCUGGCCUGCAAGGGCCUUCGUUGCUGACAGUUCCAGCUUCCCUCAGAUGCCCGCAGGACAAUCUCCCCGAAAAGGCCAAGCGCUCCGUAAGGAAAUUGAGCAAAGACCGGCAAACACCUCCCUCUUGUGGCUACCAUACAUCAGUGCAGGAUGACCAAAGCGGCCAGCGCCAAGGCCAGAACAAUUAGAUUAAGAGGGAGAUUGUAAUGCAGGAAAAAACCACCCUUCUUACAUCAAGCCAGGGAAGAUUUCUGCUCUCCUUGCCAUGAGGAAGUCUUCCUUAGUUUGCAACAGAAACUAGUGUGGAUGUUUCCACAGGGAAUGUUCCAGGACUGUCCAGUCGGCUUUGGAAAGCUGGCGUGGUACCAAGUAGAGUUCAGGACCACAGCCUCUGACUGCCAAUGGUGGGAGUGAGACUUGCAAAUGAUUUGGGCCUUAGCGGGUAUUUUAAAGAUUAGCUUUAUUUAUUUGGAGGAAACAAACAAAAAAAAAAACAAAAAAAAAGGGGGGGGAUUUUACAUAAUAAAAGACAUCUC
Long non-coding RNA from Chelonia mydas (Green sea turtle), 2497 nucleotides. RefSeq lists it as uncharacterized. The record is from RefSeq and is a predicted model, not a curated record. The transcript has 2 exons. NCBI's taxonomy places the organism in Eukaryota, Metazoa, Chordata, Testudines, Cheloniidae.